This 414-nucleotide long non-coding RNA is filed under the name Sorghum bicolor (sorghum). RNAcentral's name for it is "long non-coding RNA (SBIC_LNC013137)". The record is from RNAcentral. Lineage: Eukaryota; Viridiplantae; Streptophyta; Magnoliopsida; Poales; Poaceae.
GUGAGCAUAAAAAUAUAGGAAAAUAAAUAAAUUUUGGGAAAAUUAAAAAAAAUUAAUAGGAAAAUUAGAAACACGUUGAUGCAUUCAUGCUGCAGCACUUAUUUUUGUGAUGUGUGAAUUUAUGCAAAAGGAAAUUUGUUCAAAAUUCAAAUUGCUAAUGCUUUUGAAAAUGGGUUAAAAAAAGAAAAGAAAUCCACCCAUCUAUCCCUUCCACCCUUGUUUUCGGCCUGCUUGGCCCAAGCCGGCCCAGCACCCGCGCCCCCACCUCCCCCCCUCUCUCUCCCGCUGACAGGCCGGGCCCGCCUGUCAGCAACUCCUUCUUCCUCCAACCGUCUCCUCCCUCUCCCCUCUCUCUCGGUUCAGAACUGCAAGCCGCCCGAGCCACUCUCCACGUUCCCCACUCCUCUCCCCCGC